ACUUCUUCAUAAAUGGAUGAAGUGGACAUCACGAUGGUCAGAUUGGGAAUUCACGAUCUGAUCAUCGUGAUGUCCACUUCAUCCAUUUGUG
This 91-nucleotide microRNA precursor is filed under the name Phlebotomus papatasi. RNAcentral describes it as "microRNA mir-598". The record is from RNAcentral. Lineage: Eukaryota; Metazoa; Arthropoda; Insecta; Diptera; Psychodidae.